Molecule: ribosomal RNA, 253 nt
Filed under: uncultured bacterium
Lineage: Bacteria
Description: partial 16S ribosomal RNA
Rfam family: Bacterial small subunit ribosomal RNA
Source: RNAcentral
UACGUAGGUGGCGAGCGUUGUCCGGAUUUACUGGGCGUAAAGCGCGCGCAGGCGGUUCUGUAAGUCCUGGGUGAAAUCGCCCGGCUCAACUGGGCGGGGGCCUGGGGGACUGCGGGACUGGAGGGGCCUAGAGGCCGGUGGAACUCCCGGUGUAGCAGUGAAAUGCGUAGAGAUCGGGAGGAACACCAGUGGCGAAGGCGGCCUUCUGGACCAAUACUGACGCUCAUGCACGAAAGCGUGGGGAGCAAACAGG